GUGAAUAAGGGGGUGGGCAAGUUCUGGUGUCANCCCCCGCGGUAAAACCAGCACCUCGAGUGGUCAGGAGGUUUAUUGGGCCUAAAGCAUCCGUAGCCGGUUGCAUAAGUUUUCGGUUAAAUCUAUGCGCUUAACGUAUAGGCCGCCGAAAAUACUGUGCAGCUAGGGAGUGGGAGAGGUACACGGUACUCGAUAGGAAGGGGUAAAAUCCUUUGAUCUAUUGAAGACCACCUGUGGCGAAGGCGGUGUACCAGAACACGUUCGACGGUGAGGGAUGAAAGCUGGGGGAGCAAACCGGAUUCAGAUACCCGGGUAGUCCCAGCUGUAAACGAUGCAGACUCGGUGAUGCAUUGGCUUGUGGCCAAUGCAGUGCCGCAGGGAAGCCGUUAAGUCUGCCGCCUGGGAAGUACGUACGCAAGUAUGAAACUUAAAGGAUUGGCGGGGGAGCACCACAAGGGUGAAGCCUGCGUUCAUUGG
RNAcentral lists this ribosomal RNA (477 nucleotides) under uncultured archaeon. RNAcentral's name for it is "bacterial SSU rRNA". It matches the Rfam family "Archaeal small subunit ribosomal RNA", at positions 430 to 909 of the family's 1478-position model. The record is from RNAcentral.